UCGUGGAGUAUAGGAGAAUCC
RNAcentral lists this microRNA (21 nucleotides) under Daphnia pulex (common water flea). Its description in RNAcentral is "Dpu-Novel-8_5p (mature (guide))". Lineage: Eukaryota; Metazoa; Arthropoda; Branchiopoda; Diplostraca; Daphniidae. The record is from RNAcentral.